GUGAGGAAUCUUGCGCAAUGGGCGAAAGCCUGACGCAGCGACGCCGCGUGGGGGAUGAAGGCUUUCGGGUUGUAAACCCCUUUUGGAAGGAAAGAACUCCGGGAGGAUGAAUAAGCCUCCUGGUUUGACGGUACCUUCAGAAAAAGCCACGGCUAACUCUGUGCCAGCAGCCGCGGUAAGACAGAGGUGGCAAGCGUUGUUCGGAGUUACUGGGCGUAAAGCGCACGUAGGCGGUACGGUAAGGCCUGUGUAAAAUACCAUCGCUCAACGAUGGAAGGACGCGGGCAACUGCUGUACUAGAGGAUGGGAGAGGAAAGUGGAAUUCCCGGUGUAGCGGUGAAAUGCGUAGAUAUCGGGAGGAAGGCCGGUGGCGAAGGCGACUUUCUGGAACAAUCCUGACGCUGAGGUGCGAAAGCGUGGGGAGCAAACAGG
RNAcentral lists this ribosomal RNA (432 nucleotides) under uncultured bacterium. RNAcentral's name for it is "bacterial SSU rRNA". It matches the Rfam family "Bacterial small subunit ribosomal RNA", at positions 354 to 776 of the family's 1533-position model. The record is from RNAcentral.